This is a long non-coding RNA of Solanum pennellii, 1069 nucleotides long. RefSeq lists it as uncharacterized. The transcript is spliced from 2 exons. The record is from RefSeq and is a predicted model, not a curated record. NCBI's taxonomy places the organism in Eukaryota, Viridiplantae, Streptophyta, Magnoliopsida, Solanales, Solanaceae.
CUUACAAUUUUCUUAAAUUAAAAAAAAAAAAACCCUACAAAAACUUUCCUCCCUCAUUUCUAAUUUUUCCAACCGCCGCCACCACACCUCCUGAAACCCUAACACUUCACUUUCCUCUUCCAUUUUCGCCACUGAACCACCGAUCUCCUCCAGCCCACCUCACUGCCUCCACAAUCUUCUUCUCCGGAAAACCAGACCAAAACCCCAACUUUUCCAGUUUGAAAAAACCCAACAACAACGAUGUUAUCUCCACGAAGCUUCAAGACCCGACAACCGCUAGUCCUUUCCACUUUACCCUUUUUUGAUAUUUUGUUUGUUCUUUGCUGGUUAUGAGUGAGCUCAAAGUUCCACAAACAAUGAGCUUGAAGAUCUGAACUCCAUCUCCGGCAUGGCUCCAACUCUGUUGAACCAAAAUCGAAGCGCCGCGGCGACUCUACUCUUAUGAACAACAACCAGCCGUCACGAAGAUAAAUCUGUCACCGUGACGUUGUGCUAGAAGUAUGAAGGAAUGUACUCUUACUAGUCUAGUGGGAAGUAUCUAUAAUAUCAUCGCUAAGUUGCUUUCUGUUAGACUCGGGAAAUUGUUGGAAGAAACUGUAUCUACUUCGUGAAAUGUUUUUGUGGAGGUUAGACCGAUUCUAGAUGUAAUGCUGGUGGAAAAUAAAGUGGUGGACUUUGAGAGAAACCAACGAGUUUCAGGUGUGUUUUGCAAACUUGAUCUUGAAAAGGUUCAUGAUCAUGCGAACUAUAAAUUCCUAGAUUCUAUUAUGUUUCAAAUCAGAUUUGGGGAGAAGAGGAGGAAAUGGAUUUAUUUUUGCAUCUCUUCGGUGAAGCUUUUUAUGUUGGUGAAUAGUGACUCGUGUGGUUUUUUGGAUGUUCGAGUGGUUCAAUGUUGUUUAUUAUUGUUAUUAUAGUGUAAAAUAGGAUGAUGGACGAAGUUGUUUUAAGGGGUUACCUAAUGUAUUUCAGUGUUGAAGUUAGAUCUAGGAAUAGUCUUAGUGUCUCAUUUGUUAUUUGCAAAUAAUACCAUGAUUUUAUAUGAUACAUUUGAGACCUAGUUGGAUUGUUU